UUUAUAGCUCUGGAGAUGGAAGUUUUCUACUUAUCCACAGAACAGAUAGAGUGUAGGUAGAAAAUGCAAACGCCUCCCUACAUGCCCUCUCUUGCCAUAGUGCCUCCAUCCUGACCUGGAGGAACCAGCUCUGUAAAUGAAGAUAGAGUUCAGUCUUCAUGGAUCAUUCAAUCCUUGGCUUCU
This 183-nucleotide small RNA is filed under the name Gopherus agassizii (Agassiz's desert tortoise). RNAcentral describes it as "TUC338 (ENSGAGG00000022426.1)". Lineage: Eukaryota; Metazoa; Chordata; Testudines; Testudinidae. The record is from RNAcentral.